This 468-nucleotide ribosomal RNA is filed under the name uncultured bacterium. RNAcentral's name for it is "partial 16S ribosomal RNA". It matches the Rfam family "Bacterial small subunit ribosomal RNA", at positions 28 to 507 of the family's 1533-position model. The record is from RNAcentral.
GACGAGCGCUGGCGGCGUGCUUAACACAUGCAAGUCGAACGGAAAGGCCCUGCUUUUGUGGGGUGCUCGAGUGGCGAACGGGUGCGUAACACGUGAGUAACCUGCUCUUGACUUUGGGAUAACUUCAGGUAACUGGGGCUAAUACCGGAUAGGAGCUCCUGCUGCAUGGUGGGGGUUGGAAAGUUUCGGCGGUUGUGGAUGGACUCGCGGCUUAUCAGCUUGUUGGUGGGGUAGUGGCUUACCAAGGCAUUGACGGGUAGCCGGCCUGAGAGGGUGACCGGCCACAUUGGGACUGAGAUACGGCGCAGACUCCUACGGUAGGCAGCAGUGGGGAAUAUUGCACAAUGGGCGGAAGCCGGAUGCAGCAACGCCGCGUGCGGGAUGACGGCCUGCUGGUUGUAAACCGCAUUCGCCUGUGACGAAGCGUGAGUGACGGUAAUGGGUAAAGAAGCACCGGCUAACUACGUG